UAGAGUCUACACUGUUUGUUCCCGGCAGU
RNAcentral lists this non-coding RNA (29 nucleotides) under Rattus norvegicus (Norway rat). Lineage: Eukaryota; Metazoa; Chordata; Mammalia; Rodentia; Muridae. The record is from RNAcentral.